Molecule: unclassified non-coding RNA, 236 nt
Filed under: Carnobacterium viridans
Lineage: Bacteria; Bacillati; Bacillota; Bacilli; Lactobacillales; Carnobacteriaceae
Description: 16S-23S ribosomal RNA intergenic spacer region
Source: RNAcentral
CUAAGGAAUUUAACGGAAACCCACACAUUCGUCUUUACUUUGUUUAGUUUUGAGAGGUCUAAUCUUCUCAAAAAAACGCAACUUUGGUUGCGGCAAGACGUUGUUCUUUGAAAACUGGAUAAAGUUAAAAAGUGUAUUUCAAGUAACAAACCAGAAACACACCGAAAAGUUUUAAAAAUGAGUUUUUUUAAGGUUCUCAUCGAAAGAUGAGGUUUAAAAAUUAACUGUUAACCAUA